GAUGAACGCUGGCGGCGUGCCUAAUACAUGCAAGUCGAGCGAACAGACGAGGAGCUUGCUCCUCUGACGUUAGCGGCGGACGGGUGAGUAGCACGUGGAUAACCUACCUAUAAGACUGGGAUAACUUCGGGAAACCGGAGCUAAUACCGGAUAACAUGUUGAACCGCAUGGUUCAACAGUGAAAGACGGUCUUGCUGUCACUUAUAGAUGGAUCCGCGCCGCAUUAGCUAGUUGGUAAGGUAACGGCUUACCAAGGCAACGAUGCGUAGCCGACCUGAGAGGGUGAUCGGCCACACUGGAACUGAGACACGGUCCAGACUCCUACGGGAGGCAGCAGUAGGGAAUCUUCCGCAAUGGGCGAAAGCCUGACGGAGCAACGCCGCGUGAGUGAUGAAGGUCUUCGGAUCGUAAAACUCUGUUAUUAGGGAAGAACAAAUGUGUAAGUAACUAUGCACGUCUUGACGGUACCUAAUCAGAAAGCCACGGCUAACUACGUG
RNAcentral lists this ribosomal RNA (497 nucleotides) under uncultured bacterium. RNAcentral describes it as "partial 16S ribosomal RNA". It matches the Rfam family "Bacterial small subunit ribosomal RNA", at positions 28 to 507 of the family's 1533-position model. The record is from RNAcentral.